CCCUUAGAUGUUCUGGGCCGCACGCGCGCUACACUGAUGCAUUCAACAAGCCUAGCCUUGACCGAGAGGUCCGGGUAAUCUUUGAAACUGCAUCAUGAUGGGGCUAGAUUAUUGCAAUUAUUAAUCUUCAACGAGGAAUGCCUAGUAAGCGUGAUUCAUCAAAUCGCGUUGAUUACGUCCCUGCCCUUUGUACACACCGCCCGUCGCUCCUACCGAUUGAAUGUGUUGGUGAGGAGCUCGGAUUGGCAGCAGUUGGUGGUUCGCCACCGGCUAUUGCUGAGAAGUCCUCCAAACCGCCCCAUUUAGAGGAAGGAGAAGUCGUAACA
This 326-nucleotide ribosomal RNA is filed under the name uncultured eukaryote. Its description in RNAcentral is "partial 18S ribosomal RNA". It matches the Rfam family "Eukaryotic small subunit ribosomal RNA", at positions 1470 to 1796 of the family's 1831-position model. The record is from RNAcentral.